This 77-nucleotide transfer RNA is filed under the name Cloning vector pMGK. Its description in RNAcentral is "tRNA-Arg". The record is from RNAcentral.
UGGCGCGCCCUGCAGGAUUCGAACCUGCGGCCCACGACUUAGAAGGUCGUUGCUCUAUCCAACUGAGCUAAGGGCGC